RNAcentral lists this ribosomal RNA (253 nucleotides) under uncultured bacterium. RNAcentral describes it as "partial 16S ribosomal RNA". It matches the Rfam family "Bacterial small subunit ribosomal RNA", at positions 524 to 776 of the family's 1533-position model. The record is from RNAcentral.
UACGUAGGGCGCGAGCGUUGUCCGGAAUUAUUGGGCGUAAAGAGCUCGUAGGCGGUCUGUCGCGUCGAAUGUGAAAACCCGGGGCUCAACUCCGGGCUUGCAUUCGAUACGGGCAGGCUAGAGUUCGGUAGGGGAGUCUGGAAUUCCUGGUGUAGCGGUGAAAUGCGCAGAUAUCAGGAGGAACACCGGUGGCGAAGGCGGGACUCUGGGCCGAUACUGACGCUGAGGAGCGAAAGCGUGGGGAGCGAACAGG